This 220-nucleotide ribosomal RNA is filed under the name uncultured bacterium. RNAcentral describes it as "partial 16S ribosomal RNA". It matches the Rfam family "Bacterial small subunit ribosomal RNA", at positions 524 to 741 of the family's 1533-position model. The record is from RNAcentral.
UACGAAGGGUGCAAGCGUUACUCGGAAUUACUGGGCGUAAAGCGUGCGUAGGUGGUGAGUUAAGUCUGUCGUGAAAGCCCCGGGCUCAACCUGGGAAUGGCGAUGGAUACUGGCUCGCUAGAGUGCGGUAGAGGAGAGUGGAAUUCCCGGUGUAGCAGUGAAAUGCGUAGAGAUCGGGAGGAACAUCAGUUGCGGAAGGCGGCUCUCUGGACCCAGCACU